This is a long non-coding RNA of Cyprinus carpio carpio, 1334 nucleotides long. NCBI's taxonomy places the organism in Eukaryota, Metazoa, Chordata, Actinopteri, Cypriniformes, Cyprinidae. The record is from Ensembl.
GUCGGAUAACAUCAGAGUGUGGUUAACCUUGCAGACCAUCGCUUAAAUCUACUCUUCCUCCCUGCGUCUCCACAGGUGAACAUUGUGACAACAUGUGAAUCUAUAUGAAGCCAUCUCACCUUUGGAGGUCUCCAUUGACUCAAUUACACCACGUGACCGCUUGGAGGCGCUAGUGAGACACUUGCUGCUUUGGCAUCAUAUGAAGCAUCUCAAUGUCAUUCAGUCUCAGAUUGAGACGUGUUAGAUCCGCUGGCGAGCAUGAAGCACCUGAGAGAGUUAAUGGGAUGAGAUGAACAGAGCUGCUGCGGGACGCCCCAACAUCAGUCACACACACACACACACACACACACACACACACACACACACACACACACACACACACUGCAUGGAGAUGAUGUGCUGUCUGCUCUCAGUACUGCAGGCACCUUGAGAUCCGAAAGCAUUUUCUUGACACUAUCUUUAAGCACACAGAGGGCAGAUGUCGCCGUUAUCUCCGUGUUAUUCCCGCAGCAUCGUGACCUGUGACCGGUUUAAUGUGCGUUGGGCAUCACGGGUGUCGCGGUUUCCCCGCUGCGCCACAGUCUAUCGGCUCUCCUGCAAGAAAUGAGUGUUUUAUGAGAACGAUACAUCACCGGCCAGCAACAGCGGCGACUGACACCUGCGAUUUUUCUUCUGGCUUAAAGGAAAGAAGAGAAAUAAAUGGACAGGAUCAGGCCUGUGUUUGUGGGAAAGGUUGAAGGUCACCGCGCUGACAGAAGACUAGCUGAAGAGGAACUACAGGCCUGACAGCAUAUUUCAAUGUGUUUAAUUAAAUCAAUACAGCCGCGGUGUCAGUCUCUCAGUGAGGAAACGUGUCACGAGUGCUCAGUGAUUACAGCACAGCUCCACACAACACGCUCCAGGCCUGAGGAGAACUUUCUCAUUCAACACUGAACAUGCAACCAAUUGAAAUCCAUUAUGAGACAACAUAUUACAUAAAUCUAAGGCGAAACUUGAUUUUAUUUUUUGGUAAAUGAUCAGAAGAGAAUCCCAUUUCUGCUACAUAAGAAAAACGCAGGAUUUGUAAACCAUAAUUAUGAGAUAAAAAUCUUAAUCAUGAGAUAAUAAGUCGAAAAAUUAUAAUAUUAAAGCUGGAAUAAUUAUGUUGAAAUUGCAAAAAAAUAUUUAACUUUGUUACGACUUUCUCAUAAUUAUGAAUUAGUGUGUCAUAAUUUUAACUUUUUAUGACAGUUUUGACUCAAAUAAGUCACGAUGGCAUAUUAAGAGUUUUGAUUUAAUCUAAUAAUGUCAACUUAACAUGUUAUUGACUUAAUUAUAAUUAUGAAUAAGUGUGC